Molecule: long non-coding RNA, 201 nt
Organism: Arabidopsis thaliana (thale cress)
Lineage: Eukaryota; Viridiplantae; Streptophyta; Magnoliopsida; Brassicales; Brassicaceae
Product: other RNA
Exons: 1
Source: RefSeq
AGAGAGGCAGAGCAUAACGGUUUCUCUUCCUCUAGUUUUCCCCUGUUUCUCCGGAGAAACAGAGAUAUUAUACAAAAGAGAAUAUACUAAUAACGUUAAUCAGUAAAUGUAUAAGUACCAAUUUCUGUAUGUUUGUCACAUUUUUUCUAUAUUCUAUAGAAAAUCUGGAUUAGACUGAUCCAAACCGCAUAUUCCUCUAAG